AUGGAGGAUUUUGUUGCUUGGAAUUAUACCAAAUCGGGCCUAUUUACCGUCAGGUCCGCUUAUUACACCGAAUGGGAGUUUCAGCAUGGGAGGAAAUUGGCUAGGACGAGCCCUCCGAGCACCACUGCUGUGAACCCUGUCUGGCAGCAAGUGUGGAAACUUCAAGUCCCGGCAAAGGUAAAGAUUUACUGUUGGAGGGUCUUGCAUGGGACUAUUCCAUGUAAUAGUAUUCUCGCUAAUCGACACAUACAGACCAGUAGUAUUUGCCCGGUCUGCAAAAUCCAUUGUGAGGAUAUCAAGCAUGCUACCUUCUCAUGUGGCCGAGUGUCUGAAGUCUGGGAUAAUUUGGGCGUGGAUGACACCAUAGCUGCAGCGUGUGGACAUGAAAAUACAGGCCCCGGUGCCUUGGAAGCCAUACUGCAAGGUCACAUUUUGGGACCUACUUAUAUCUCGGGUGUGGGAUUUAAGGAACUUGUGGCGACGACUUGUUGGUAUACAUGAAAGCCAGCAAGCAAGAUUCGGAGACACAGCUGGGAGCGACCUGCUGAUGGUUUCGUAAAGUUGAAUGUUGAUGCGGUGUUCUCUGUUGAUCAGGGAAGAGGAGCCACUGGAGCUGUCAUCCGCGACAAUCAAGGCAGAUUCAUAUCGGCGAGCGCAUGUGCUAUCAGUUAUGUAGCGGAUGCCCCUACAGCCGAAGCUCGCUCUAUCCGGGACGGAUUGAUCCUAGCAAGCAACUCAGGAUGCAACAAUAUCAUUGUAAAUUCAGACUGCAUGGAAGUAAUUCAGACCAUGCAGGAUGAUGGCAAUUCGACUUGUGUGGCAGCUGCUAUUUAUGAGGAGUGUAGCUUUUUAGCUAGAAAUUUUUCCAGUAUUUCUUUUGUUCAUUGUCCCAGGGAAAGUAAUAAGGUAGCUCAUUUGCUAGCUAGUCAAGCCGAGUGA
Molecule: ribosomal RNA, 939 nt
Filed under: Triticum aestivum (bread wheat)
Lineage: Eukaryota; Viridiplantae; Streptophyta; Magnoliopsida; Poales; Poaceae
Description: partial small subunit ribosomal RNA
Source: RNAcentral